Ruditapes philippinarum (Manila clam) is the source of this 5956-nucleotide long non-coding RNA. RefSeq lists it as uncharacterized. The record is from RefSeq and is a predicted model, not a curated record. The transcript is spliced from 2 exons. Lineage: Eukaryota; Metazoa; Mollusca; Bivalvia; Venerida; Veneridae.
GAUGCUGAAGAGUCGAGUGAUGAGAAUAAUGAUGAAGAGUAGGAUGCCAGUUAUGAUGAAAUAGCUUCUGACUGAUUCUGCCAAGUAGCAACAGAAUCACCUGAUUACUCCUCAAAAGAUUCUGAUUCUAAAUAUAAGGAACAGCAACAUAUGAAACGUUGCAUUGGUAAAACUUACCCCCCCCCCCCAGAAAGGGAUGACAAAACCAUGGACAGAGAUUGAAAAAGAGGCUGUAAAGAAAGGAUUACACAGAUGCUUUUUUUUAGUCAAGUUACCAUCAAAAAAGAGAGUGUGAAGAUCUAAUCAGUAAGGAACCAUGUUUAGAAUACAGAUCAUGGACAAUGAUAAAAGAUUCUGUGAGAACAUCAUUUAAGCAGCACAAAAACGUCAAAAUGAAAAGGAAAAAAAGAACAUAAAAUUGAUAAACCAGUGAAUAUAUUAUUAUGUCUGGAUAUCUACAUUUUUUUAAGUAUGCAGGAACUCAAAUUUCUCUUGUCAAAAUUGUCUCGAUAUCGCGUGGAACUUAACUUAAAAUUUGCCUGAUAUUUUUGUGGUUUAUUGUUUUGCCUCAACGGAGUAGUGGCAACAUGUAGGGAUCCCUUCUCCGGCAUCUGCCACAAAACUUGUCUGGACUACUCCUCAGAAACUACUGGUGCAAUUUCAUGGAAACUUUACAGGAAUGCUCAGUACUAAGUCUAGUGUUUUACAUAGAACAGUUCAUCAAAAUAAAAUAUCGUAAACACCGCUUAUAACUAACAGCUCUAGACCUACAAAAAGUGUUUGUUUUUUAAGGAGUAUGUAAUAGAUAUUUAUCUUCUGUUUUGUUAUUUUAAGCUAGAUUUUUUUUCCAAAGAAAAAAAUAUAGAGGAAUUGCCACAGUCAGGUUCGCGUUCCCGUAUCCUGUUGCUAUUGUCAUCCAAAAACUUUAACAUUGAUCAUUAUUUUUAGAUCACCUGUCAAAAAGUGACAGGGUGAGCUUUUGUGAUCACUUUUCGUCCAGCAUCUGUCUGUCCGUCCGGCGUCCGUAAACUUUUACUUAAAAUGACAUCUCCUCAUAAACCACUAAGCCAAUUUCAUCCAAACUUCAUAGGAAUGUUCCUUUGGUGGUCACCUUUAAAUAUUGUUCAAAGAAUUAAAUUCCAUGCAGAACUCUGGUUGCAAUGGCAACCCAAAGAAAAAACUUAAAAUAUCUUCUUUUAAAUAACCCAAAGAGCUGGAGCUUAGAUAUUUGGCAUGAAACAUUUUCUAGUCAGUGUCUACUAAGUUUGUUCAAAUAAAAGCCCUGGGGUCAAAAUUGGCCCCACCCCAGGGGUCAUUGAUUUUCACUAUAUGCAUAUAGUAAAAACUUUAAAAAUCUUUUUUUAAUUUAGAUUCCAAAGAGCUACAGCUAAGAUAUUUAGCAUGAAACAUCUUCUAAUGAAUGUCUACCAAGUUUGUUCAAAUAAGAGCCCUGGGGUCGAAAUUGGCCCCGGCCCGGGGGGUCAUUGUUUUCCCUAUAUGUAUAUAGUAAAAACAUAAAAUAUCUUCUUUUAAAAAAAACCAAAUAGCUAGAGCUUAUAUAUUAAGCAUAAACCAUCUUCUAAUGAAUGUCUACAAAGUUUGUUCAAAUAAAAGCCCUGGGGUCAAAAUUGAUUCUGCACUGGAGGUCAUUGAUUUUCCUUAUAUGCAUAUAGUAAAAACUUUAAAAACUUUUUUUAAUUUAGAUUCCAAAGAGCUAGAGCUAAGAUAUUUAGCAUGAAACAUCUUCUAAUGGAUGUCUACCAAGUUUGUUCAAAUAAGAGCCCUGGGGUUGAAAUUGGCCCCGCCGGGGGGGUCAUUGUUUUCCCUAUAUGUAUAUAGUAAAAACUUAAAAAAUCUUCUUUUAAAAAACCCAAAUCGCUAGAGCUUAUAUAUUUAGCAUGAAACAUCUUCUUUUGGGUGUCUACCAAGUUUGUUCAAAUAAAAGCCCUUGGGUUAAAAUUGGCCAGGCCCGGGGGUCAUUGUUUUUCAUUACAUUGUAUAUGUGUGUAGUUUGUUCAAAUAUCAGCCUUGGGGUUUAAACUGGCCCCGCUCUGGGGGCCUGUAUACAGGUGAACAACUUCAGGGCCAUCAUGGCCCAUUUGUUUUAUUACUUGGUGUAUUGUCCUUAUACUUGGGCACAAAAGUCAUUUGGAAAAGACCAUCAAGCAGACUAGACUAAACUUGGCAUUGACUUUCAAUUGAAUAUGGAACUUUGCUUGUAAUUAGCAAUAAGUAGUUGUAACUUUGUUACUAAUGAAUGGAUUGUCUUCAUACUUAGACACAAUCAACCUUUCAGCAAAAGAAUUUGAGAAGACGAAGCUAAAGGUGACCUUGACUCUUAAAUGGUCAUGACAUUUAGGGUACAAAUAUGUUAUUUUGCUUGAUUUUUAGUUCAACUAUUGGCAGAAUAUUCGAGCUAUUGCAGUCACCCAUUUUUCGGCGUCCCUAUGGUUAAGUUUUUGUGCUUUUUGGCUGAUAUCUCCCUAACUUUGGAAGGGAAUGGAUUGAAACUCUACACAUUUCUUUUCUCUGAUUAUCUAAGAUGAUUUGCACAAGUCCAAUAACUCUGAUUUGCUAUUUUGCAUAUUUAUGCCCCUUUUUUGAGUUAGAAAUAUUUGGUUAAGUUUUAGCAUGUAAGCCGAUAUUUCCAAAACUAAGAAAGGGAAUGGAUUUAAACUCCACACGCUUCUUCCCUGUAAUUAUCUCACAUUAUUGGCACAAUUCCCAUAACUCUGAUUUGGCUGAGGGACAAUUUGAGCCACGUCGCGACAAAACCAACGUAAUGCGUUUGCCACCAGCAUGGAUCCAGACCAGCCUGCACAUCCGCACAGUCUGAUCAGGAUGCAUGCUGUUUGCUAUCAAUUUCUCUAAAUAGGGUUUGUAAGGGAACAGCAUGGAUCCUGAUCAGUCUGCACGGAUGUGCAGGCUGGUCUGGAUCCAUGCUGGUUGCAAACCCAUUAUGUUGGUUUUGUAGUGACACUGCUCAUUUUAUUUAUUCAUAUAGGUAGGCUGUAUUAUACUCAAUGAAACACCCUUGUCUAGUGUUGUGUCCUCCGACAGCUCUUGUUAUUAUAAUUGCUUGUAACUUUCUUAUUUAUAAAUGGAUUGUCAUAUUAAUUGAACAUAUUAUCCUUUUGGACAUUAUCUUAAGUAAGAUCAAACUCCAUGUAACCUUGACCUUGAACUGACCUUGACCAUCAAGGUCAAAUUAUUAAAUUUUGUUAAAAAUGGUAGAUUUGACUGUAAUUGAUCAAAAUAACACUUAUGACAAAAUCGACAUGAUGUUUUAUCUAUGUCUGUCCAGGUCAUGUUACUGACUUUUGUCAAAAAUAGUUCAACUUUGUUAUCAAUUGAUGGAUUUGAUUGAUACUUUACAAAAGAAUAUUUAUGAAAAAUGCAACAUGUUGUUUAUCAAUUUUUGUAUGACUUUGACCUUGAACUGACCUUGACCGUCAGGGUCAUGUUUUUGAAUUAAGCUGAAAUUUGUGUUAAUUUGUUAUUAAUUGAAUUGAUUCUUGGUCAAGAUCAAAGUAUAGACAAACUGACAUGUUGCAUAAUCAAUUUUUGUUCUUGACAUGACCUUGACUGUCAAAGUAAUGUUUUUGAAUUUUGCUAGAAUUUGUAUAAAUUUGUUAGUAAUGGAUGGAUUUGAUUAAUACUUGGACAAUACAACAGUUAAGCAAAACCCAAACUUUGUUAUUUAUGAGCAGAUUUGGUUCAUACUUUGGCAUGGACUGCAUGCAGCACUAAACCGUUAUAAUGAGUAAUUCAAAUUUGGCAUUGACCUUUUAACGACCAUCACCAAAAAAGCGAUACGACAGUUAAGUUAUAUUAGUGACACAAAUAAAUUUAAAAUCAUUUUCCGGGUUUAAUGUGAGGAAUUCAGUUAAGAUAAUACAUUAAUUUGUUCGUGAAUUGUUAAAAUUGAUUCAGAAAUUUUCAUGCCCUUGUUAACUUUUUAUAUGUGAUUAUUUAUUGUUAACAUACAUUUGAUAUGACACACAACGUUAUUUUCUUGAUGUUAUUGGUAUUUGAAUAUUUAAUAUUAAUUUAUUGAACUUUAAUAGAAAUAUUCAGGUUAGCUAAUAUCAUCCAAUUUGUUAUUGUAUUUACUCAUUAUAUUUGUAUUUCUACGGCUGCGUUUUUAUUGGCGCUAUACGUUAUAAACGAAAAAUAGUCACAUAUUCUGGAACCUUAUGAUAUGAAAUGUGAUUAUGAAUAGAUAGAAUGGAAAUAAAAAAAGUGGAUUUAUUAAAACAUUUUCCUUUUCCAAUGCAUUGUGUAAUAGCCAGGAUAAAUGUUAAUUAUUUAUAAGUACUUAUUAUUUCCAUAUGUAGUAAAUUAUUGACUUUUAAUAUAAUAAACUUACUCGACCUGUUAAUAUGUCAGUAUAUUUGGUAACUUAAUUAAUAAAUCGAUUUAAAAAAGCUUUAAAUUGACAGAAAAUUAAAAAAAUUUCAAUCUAAACUACUUCUGUACCAUUGUCUUAGACAAGUAGCUUUUCUAAGGAAAAUGGUGGACUUCGCAGGCAUCUUAGCGUUGAACUGAUAACGAUCGCUGAUUGGCUUAUCUCUGUGACCCCUGCCAGUUUGACUGACAGGCGGCGUAAUGUCAAUUAAUGCUACAGCAGAAGUAUAAAUCCCAAUAUUCAAACACAUUUUCAAAAAAAAAGUGAUGCAGCCUAGAUUUUCAGUCUAUGUUAUUCUUGGUUGUAGUAAAACAAAUUUGACCAUGAAGUUUAUCAAAUUAAUUGCUUGUUUUGUAGAGGCAAUGUCAUAUUCACACAGAAUGACUUAUUUGAUUUUAAAUUUACCGUGACUUGCAGAACUAUGAUUUUAUUUUUCCACAAUUUCUUGACAUUUAUUAGUGAUUUCAUUAAUUGUUACAAUUACAUCUUCUGGACAGUUAUACUCUUGAUUGUUGUUUUGAAUAAAAUAGGACAAUAAUCGUCUGUACUUAAGUAAAAAUUCUGAUCUAUUUUGGCCUGUAGGUUGCUGAUAAUGAGAUCACGUUUGAGUCCAAACUUUGGUGUUAAGUUAUUAUUGUAUUAUGAUCAAAUGAGUUGAUACCUGCCAUAUUGAAGCAGGAUGUACUUUGAUUUAACAUAAACAUUUGUAAUGCGAUUUCAUCCUAUUUUGGUCUGAAAUUUCUGUGUGAAAUCUUGAUGGAAUUUCGAUCCACAGACAUAUAUCAAUAGAAGCAGUAUAUGUUUUAAAGUGUGCAUUUGCUUUUUUUAUUCCCCGCCAAUGGAAACGGGAGGAUAUUGUUUUGGCAUUGUCCAUCCGCCCUCUUUCCGCGCUAGCAAUUACUGGCUGGAAUUCAGCGAAACUUUAUGGCAACCAUCAAUACCAAGAGAUGCGCAUAUCUUUGCCUUGUUCCUGUCAGACCUUCCAACACAGAGUGAUGGCCCUUGAUUAGUAUGCAGUAUGUGUAAAAAGCAAUAAUCGUUUCCGCGCUGUUUCUCUGCAACUACUGGCUGGAAUUCAAUUAAACUUUAUAGGAACCAUUAAUACAAAAAGGCAAUUUGCAUCUCAUUGGCAUGCCCAGAUAAUACUAUCUAACACUGAGUUAUGGCCCCUGUUAUUGCUCUGAAUAUUUAUCAUGUACAAAGAAUAUUACUGUUUACGCCAUGAUAAAUAUAUAAAAAUAAAGCCUUAUGUCUCCAGUUAAUGUGUUAGUAAUAACCAGUACUCGACAGGGGGAUAAAUCAAGGAAUUUGCUUGUAUAGAAGUAAAAUUCGAGGCUGAACAAUCAACAUUUGAGGAAACUUAAAUGAAAUGCUUAAUGAAAACAAUGCUAAAUUAGUUUGCAAGUUUUGAAAGAUAAUAAUAUUAUAUUCAUUUCAAGAGAAAAAAACUUUAAUUAUCUUGUUUACAUGCCAUGUUUUGUAUAUGAAACAUUGAAGUGGAUAUAAUGUAAUCAAAACAUUCAGAAUACAUCAUAUUGUUCAGCUGUU